This 379-nucleotide ribosomal RNA is filed under the name uncultured Rhodocyclaceae bacterium. RNAcentral's name for it is "bacterial SSU rRNA". It matches the Rfam family "Bacterial small subunit ribosomal RNA", at positions 1005 to 1382 of the family's 1533-position model. The record is from RNAcentral. Lineage: Bacteria; Pseudomonadati; Pseudomonadota; Betaproteobacteria; Rhodocyclales; Rhodocyclaceae.
GAUUUGGGAGUGCUCGCAAGAGAACCGGAACACAGGUGCUGCAUGGCUGUCGUCAGCUCGUGUCGUGAGAUGUUGGGUUAAGUCCCGCAACGAGCGCAACCCUUGUCAUUAGUUGCCACCAUUCAGUUGGGGCACUCUAAUGAGACUGCCGGUGACAAACCGGAGGAAGGUGGGGAUGACGUCAAGUCCUCAUGGCCCUUAUGGGUAGGGCUUCACACGUCAUACAAUGGUCGGUACAGAGGGUCGCCAACCCGCGAGGGGGAGCCAAUCCCACAAAGCCGAUCGUAGUCCGGAUUGGAGUCUGCAACUCGACUCCAUGAAGUCGGAAUCGCUAGUAAUCGUGGAUCAGCAUGUCACGGUGAAUACGUUCCCGGGUCUU